AUGGUAUCCUGCUCUUUUGUUUGUUUGAUCCAAUUGGUAUCGGUUCGAGUGUGUGAUGGAAUGGAGAUGAAAGAUCGUGACGACACUGACGGUGUACCGCGUCCACAGGUCAGUGGUGCCGCCUCUGGUUUCUUCCCCAUCAAUCCCAGACAUCGCUUGUACGCUUGCAUAAGUAGUUUGCCGCUCUCAAUUCUCACUCUAACUCUCUUGUCAUUCUUCUCUCUGUUUUCCUAUGAGGUGAGGAGAUUAGGCACAGGCUUGUUGUUGCUUUGCUGUACCAAAUUGGAACCAAUGAUGAAAAGAGAAGCAUGUUUUCUGUCGGAUAUUCAAAAUGGAUCCCAGCAGCAUAUGGUCCUUCAUGUAAAAGAUAAUUUUGUGAAUGCCAAGAAGUAA
RNAcentral lists this ribosomal RNA (393 nucleotides) under Triticum aestivum (bread wheat). RNAcentral describes it as "partial small subunit ribosomal RNA". The record is from RNAcentral. Lineage: Eukaryota; Viridiplantae; Streptophyta; Magnoliopsida; Poales; Poaceae.